GCUACAGAGCGGGGCGGUAGACCGACCGCCGUCGACAUUCACGAGGCACAGCAGCGCCACCUGGCGGCUCUGCCUUCCCCCGCGACAGAGGAGCGGCUUCCGUGGAGCGACAAGACGCGCCCGCAGGCGACUUCCACUCAGCCCGCCAGCCAGGGAAGGAAGCUCUGCAAAGGACAAAGAAGGCUGAGCCUGGGGGAAGGUUCUCCGGUGGGCAGAACCUAUAGUGUCUUCAGCCUCCUGUCUGCCUCAGCUUUUUAUACAGUAAGUGCUCAACAAAUGGUCAACAAAGUAAAUUGCAUCUAGUCUUGCAGCUUCUUGAACACGCUUUGUGGUGUGUGCCCUGUUUGUGGUUGCUUAGUUGCGAAGUUUCAUCCGCCUCUUUUGUGACCCCGUGAACUGUAGCCCACCCGGCUCCUCUGUCCAUGGGAUUUUUCCAGGCAAGAAUACUGGAAUGGGUUGCCACGCCCUCCUCCAGGGGAUCUUCCCAACCCAGGGAUAGAACCCGCAUCUCCUGCACUGGCAGGCGGAUUCUUUGCCCCUGAGCCACCAAGAAAGCCCCUUAAACCAGUUAGUCUAUAGCAUUUCGUUAUGCCAGCCUGAGUAGUGGUGAAGUGUUUCUGAAACAACUUCCGUGACCCACCAAGGAAUGAAAGUCAGACAGGAAAUUCCGGAAUGCCGUGAUCCUGAACAUCCACGCAUCCCUUCCCUCUCUUGAUUCUUACAGAAAUACUUGUCAAACACCUGCCAGGUGUCAGACCCUGUGCCAGGCACUCAAAACUGUGGAAACUAGAGCGGAGUCCCCGCCUUGUGGAGCUGACAUUUGAAAGGGCCAAGGCAUCAGAUCAUGACAAUGUCAUUAAAACAGGUAAGGGCUAUGGAGGAUGUGCGUGGUUCUUCUCUGAACUUCUAGUCCCUUUCAGGGAUAGAGGGCCUGGCUCAGGCAGCAGAGCUGAGUCCAGA
RNAcentral lists this long non-coding RNA (960 nucleotides) under Capra hircus (goat). RNAcentral describes it as "lncRNA (ENSCHIG00000007015.1)". Lineage: Eukaryota; Metazoa; Chordata; Mammalia; Artiodactyla; Bovidae. The record is from RNAcentral.